Molecule: ribosomal RNA, 491 nt
Filed under: uncultured bacterium
Lineage: Bacteria
Description: partial 16S ribosomal RNA
Rfam family: Bacterial small subunit ribosomal RNA
Source: RNAcentral
AGUGAACGCUGGCGGUAGGCCUAACAUAUGCAAGUCGAACGGCAGCACAGUAAGAGCUUGCUCUUACGGGUGGCGAGUGGCGGACGGGUGAGGAAUACAUCGGAAUCUACUUUUUCGUGGGGGAUAACGUGGGAAACUUACGCUAAUACCGCAUACGACCUACGGGUGAAAGCAGGGGAUCUUCGGACCUUGCGCGAUUGAAUGAGCCGAUGUCGGAUUAGCUAGUUGGCGGGGUAAAGGCCCACCAAGGCGACGAUCCGUAGCUGGUCUGAGAGGAUGAUCAGCCACACUGGAACUGAGACACGGUCCAGACUCCUACGGGAGGCAGCAGUGGGGAAUAUUGGACAAUGGGCGCAAGCCUGAUCCAGCCAUACCGCGUGGGUGAAGAAGGCCUUCGGGUUGUAAAGCCCUUUUGUUGGGAAAGAAAAGCAGCAGGUUAAUACCCCGCUGUUCUGACGGUACCCAAAGAAUAAGCACCGGCUAACUUCGUG